GGGUUGUGAGGUUAAGCGACUAAGCGUACACGGUGGAUGCCCUGGCAGUCAGAGGCGAUGAAGGGCGUGCUAAUCUGCGAUAAGCGCCGGUAAGGUGAUAUGAACCGUUAUAACCGGCGAUACCCGAAUGGGGAAACCCAGUGUGACUCGUCACACUAUCAUUAACUGAAUCCAUAGGUUAAUGAGGCGAACCGGGGGAACUGAAACAUCUAAGUACCCCGAGGAAAAGAAAUCAACCGAGAUUCCCCCAGUAGCGGCGAGCGAACGGGGAGGAGCCCAGAGCCUGAAUCAGCAUGUGUGUUAGUGGAAGCGUCUGGAAAGGCGCGCGAUACAGGGUGAUAGCCCCGUACACAAAAGCGCAUGUGUUGUGAGCUCGAUGAGUAGGGCGGGACACGUGGUAUCCUGUCUGAAUAUGGGGGGACCAUCCUCCAAGGCUAAAUACUCCUGACUGACCGAUAGUGAAC
This 464-nucleotide ribosomal RNA is filed under the name Salmonella enterica subsp. enterica serovar Ohio. Its description in RNAcentral is "partial 23S ribosomal RNA". It matches the Rfam family "Bacterial large subunit ribosomal RNA", at positions 1 to 495 of the family's 2925-position model. The record is from RNAcentral. Lineage: Bacteria; Pseudomonadati; Pseudomonadota; Gammaproteobacteria; Enterobacterales; Enterobacteriaceae.